GGGCGCUGCCCCCCCAAUCCAUCGACAAACUCAACCAACAGAGCAAUUCUUCUAAAUUUUUCAGUCUUUCCAAUUUCCAAGCACUUCUCUUCCCUUCUCUUCUGUAAACAAAGCACUUCAUUUUCUACAUUUGUCAACAGUCUUCUAAUUUCUUUUCAAGAUAAACUCACUCAUCAUGGCUCCUGAUCUCACCACCGCCACCAAGACUACCUCUCUCGUUAAGCAAGCUAGUAUAUCUAGCUGUGCUUAUGUGACGUUCUUGGCUGGUAAUGGAGAUUAUGUAAAAGGUGUUGUCGGCUUAGCCAAGGGCUUGAGGAAGGUUAAUAGCAAAUACCCACUAGUGGUAGCUAUCUUGCCCGAUGUCCCAGAGGAGCACCGAAAGAUUCUGGUCUCCCAGGGGUGCAUAGUCAGGGAAAUUGAACCUUUGCACCCGCCUGAGAACCAGACCCAAUUUGCCAUGGCUUAUUAUGUCAUUAACUACUCCAAGCUCCGUAUAUGGGAGUUCGUGGAGUAUAGCAAGAUGAUUUAUUUGGAUGGUGACAUCCAAGUAUUUGAUAAUAUAGACCACCUCUUCGACUUGCAAGAUGGGUACUUUUAUGGUGUGAUGGACUGUUUUUGUGAGCAGACAUGGAGCCACUCACCACAGCACAAGAUCGGCUACUGCCAGCAGUGCCCGGAUAGGGUUCAGUGGCCUGCUAAGAUGGGCCCUAAACCUUCCCUUUACUUCAAUGCUGGCAUGUUUGUUUUUGAGCCCAAUUUGUCCACAUAUGAUGACCUCUUGAGGACCGUCAGACUUACCCCUCCUACCCUCUUUGCUGAGCAGGAUUUCUUGAACAUGUUCUUCAAGGACGUUUACAGGCCAAUUCCUCCAAUUUACAACCUUCUAUUGGCUUUGCUCUGGCGCCAUCCUGAGAACAUUGAACUUGACAAAGUCAAGGUUGCUCACUACUGUGCUGCUGGCUCCAAGCCAUGGAGGUACACUGGGAAAGAAGAGAACAUGGACAGGGAAGACAUCAAGAUGCUGGUCAAUAAAUGGUGGGAUAUUUACGAUGACGAGUCUUUGGACUACAAGAGCACUGUGGCUGCUGCUGGUGGAACUGAAGGUGGUCUGCAACCAUUCUUGGCUGCGCUGUCGGAGGCUGGUGUUGCUCACUACAUUAACGCCCCAUCUGCUGCCUAGGCCUAAGGCUAUUGGUAGUAGAGACAAUUUGUAUAUUGAAAAGAAACGCUUUAUUUAUUAUUAGAGAUCAAUCAAAGCUCACAAACAAUCUUCUGUAAGGCAUUAACCAUCCCACCUUUAAUGGUCUGUGGUCUGGGAAGGUCAAAGAUAAUGGCAAAUCAAAUUAAUCACACUUCCAGAUAUCUCUGAUCAUAGGAACCUCUUGCGAGUUUGGUUAAAGAUCUCCCAUAUGCAGCGUUGUUUUCUUCUCAAAGGCAACAGCAGGUUCCUUUUUCCUUCUAUUUUCAUUGUAUAAAAUAUAAUUUUUUCAAUACCUAUAACAAAUUAAAUUUGAAUUCUUGGACAA
Hevea brasiliensis (rubber tree) is the source of this 1526-nucleotide RNA transcript. It is a transcript of the gene named galactinol synthase 2, with no coding region annotated. Lineage: Eukaryota; Viridiplantae; Streptophyta; Magnoliopsida; Malpighiales; Euphorbiaceae. The record is from RefSeq and is a predicted model, not a curated record. The transcript has 6 exons.